AUUGACUUUAAAGUCAUUUUACAAUCGUUCGAAAAAUAUAAAUAGAGAAAAUAUAAUUGAAAACAGGAGAAAAUAUAAUAAAAUCAAUUCUAAAAAGUAUAAAAAUAUCUAUUAUUGGCUUCAAAUCUUCCAAAACAAAAUAAAACAUUUGGUACAAAACAAAGAAAAUCCAUCUGACGAAGAAGUACAGAUAAUUAUAUCUUAUAUGAUAGGUUAAAUUUUAAAACUCGGACAAAGACCUCAAACAGUUAGAAAUUUCACAGUAGAAGAAUAUCUAAAUGGUAGAGAAGACAAUGCAUACUUUUUAGCAGAUAUUAAAAGUGUAGAAACAGGAUACGCCUCUUUUUCUUUGGAAUCUAAAUUCAAUCAAGACAUAUUUCAAUAUUAUUAUGAAAAAAUUAGAAAAUCAAAUUUAUCUCAAUUUAUAUUGACUUCCUCAGUGACAGUAUUAACUAAUCCUAAAGAAAGAAAAUUUUCCAAUAAUGAAGUUAAAUACCGUACAAUACAGACAUCUUGUAUCUACAGCAAUCCAAGAGCAUAUUAACAAUCCGGAAACAAGAAAAAGAUUACAUCAAGAAUUAAACCCUACAGAAAAUGUAGCAAAGAAAAAAUAUAAAUUACAAACAGUUGAAGCUACAAAGAAAAAUCGACGAGAAUUACUAAAAGUAAUAAAAAAAACACUUGUAAAUUAGAUUUAAUAACUAAAAAUAAAUGUUAUUGUUAAAUGUUACUUAUAAUUAAAUAUCUUACAUCUAAUAAUAUUUGU
Molecule: long non-coding RNA, 766 nt
Filed under: Androctonus crassicauda
Lineage: Eukaryota; Metazoa; Arthropoda; Arachnida; Scorpiones; Buthidae
Source: RNAcentral